Molecule: unclassified non-coding RNA, 247 nt
Filed under: Hevea brasiliensis (rubber tree)
Lineage: Eukaryota; Viridiplantae; Streptophyta; Magnoliopsida; Malpighiales; Euphorbiaceae
Source: RNAcentral
UUGUUCGAAGCCUUGCUGCGCUACACUGGCGAGCAACUCGUCGCGAUCGCGGAAAUGGCGAUACGGCGCUGCCGGGCUGACACCGGCCGAGCGCGCGGCCUCGGCGAAGGCGAAACCCGCCGGGCCCUUGUUCCCAAUCCGCUCGAGCGCGGCGCACCAGCGCCUCCUUCAGAUUGCCGUGAUGGUAGCCGCCCUCGCGGCGGCCGCGGUUCUUCCAGCUCAUUUUGCGUAUCUACUCAUGUAAACU